This 408-nucleotide long non-coding RNA is filed under the name Nicotiana tabacum (common tobacco). RNAcentral's name for it is "long non-coding RNA (NTAB_LNC005357)". The record is from RNAcentral. Lineage: Eukaryota; Viridiplantae; Streptophyta; Magnoliopsida; Solanales; Solanaceae.
CCAUGUUCCCCUUCUCCUCUUUUUUUUUUCUCAGAAAACAAAAAAACUAAAAUAGGAGCUCUUUUCCCUAUAAUCACUAUUUUUAGGUAAUCUGUCCUUAGACUCAUUCAUCUCCAUUCUUGACAAAAAAAAUCUUUUCUUUUUUGAUUACCAUUGUCUCCAAAAUUCAAGCUUUUGACCAUUUUCUUGGUUUCAGAUCUGCUUGCUGAUUUGGGUUUUUAUUUUUCUGAGCUGAAGCUGUUCAUUUUGAAGACAUUUUCUUUGUGGGUUUUGGUUAUUUUCCCAUGUUGUUGAGCUCUGAGUUGCCUAUAAGAGAUUGAUGAAGGUAUUCUUUUUCUUAAUGUUUAUGCUCCACUUUUGAUUUUACAAGGUUUAAGCAUAAAGAUAUAUUGGUUGUUUUAUUUUGGG